Molecule: long non-coding RNA, 320 nt
Filed under: Salvia miltiorrhiza (redroot sage)
Lineage: Eukaryota; Viridiplantae; Streptophyta; Magnoliopsida; Lamiales; Lamiaceae
Description: long non-coding RNA (SMIL_LNC002183)
Source: RNAcentral
AAACAUUAUGACGAUACAUGGUACUGAUCAUUAAAAUACUAGUAAUAAAACAUUGUAACCAAAUGGUGCUAUUAUAGCAUAUAAAAUAAGCAGAAUAUCAUAUCUAUAUCAACUUACACGCGAAAACAUAUAUUUGUAACUGGACAAAUAAUUCCAAAAAAAAAAAAAAGAUUCAGAUAAACAAUAUAGAAAAUACUAACUCUAGGAUAUGUAAUGGCUCAACUAAACUCAUGCAUUCAACUUAAUAAUUCAAGUAUCAGUUUAAUCCAAUCUUGAUAAAAACAUCACACAAUUAUUCAUACAGUCUCUCUCGAGUAGUU